Molecule: ribosomal RNA, 493 nt
Filed under: uncultured bacterium
Lineage: Bacteria
Description: partial 16S ribosomal RNA
Rfam family: Bacterial small subunit ribosomal RNA
Source: RNAcentral
AUUGAACGCUGGCGGCAUGCUUUACACAUGCAAGUCGAACGGUAACAGGUUAAGCUGACGAGUGGCGAACGGGUGAGUAAUGCAUCGGAACGUGCCCGGUCGUGGGGGAUAACGCAGCGAAAGCUGCGCUAAUACCGCAUACGAUCUGAGGAUGAAAGCGGGGGACCGUAAGGCCCCGCGCGAUCGGAGCGGCCGAUGUCAGAUUAGGUAGUUGGUGGGGUAAAGGCUCACCAAGCCAACGAUCUGUAGCUGGUCUGAGAGGACGACCAGCCACACUGGGACUGAGACACGGCCCAGACUCCUACGGGAGGCAGCAGUGGGGAAUUUUGGACAAUGGGCGAAAGCCUGAUCCAGCAAUGCCGCGUGCAGGAAGAAGGCCUCCGGGUUGUAAACUGCUUUUGUACGGAGCGAAAAGGUCUCCUCUAAUACAGGGGGCUCAUGACGGUACCGUAAGAAUAAGCACCGGCUAACUACGUGCCAGCCGCCGCGGUAA